This 1432-nucleotide ribosomal RNA is filed under the name Salmonella enterica subsp. enterica serovar Enteritidis. RNAcentral's name for it is "bacterial SSU rRNA". It matches the Rfam family "Bacterial small subunit ribosomal RNA". Lineage: Bacteria; Pseudomonadati; Pseudomonadota; Gammaproteobacteria; Enterobacterales; Enterobacteriaceae. The record is from RNAcentral.
UGUCUGGGAAACUGCCUGAUGGAGGGGGAUAACUACUGGAAACGGUGGCUAAUACCGCAUAACGUCGCAAGACCAAAGAGGGGGACCUUCGGGCCUCUUGCCAUCAGAUGUGCCCAGAUGGGAUUAGCUUGUUGGUGAGGUAACGGCUCACCAAGGCGACGAUCCCUAGCUGGUCUGAGAGGAUGACCAGCCACACUGGAACUGAGACACGGNCCAGACUCCUACGGGAGGCAGCAGUGGGGAAUAUUGCACAAUGGGCGCAAGCCUGAUGCAGCCAUGCCGCGUGUAUGAAGAAGGCCUUCGGGUUGUAAAGUACUUUCAGCGGGGAGGAAGGUGUUGUGGUUAAUAACCGCAGCAAUUGACGUUACCCGCAGAAGAAGCACCGGCUAACUCCGUGCCAGCAGCCGCGGUAAUACGGAGGGUGCAAGCGUUAAUCGGAAUUACUGGGCGUAAAGCGCACGCAGGCGGUCUGUCAAGUCGGAUGUGAAAUCCCCGGGCUCAACCUGGGAACUGCAUUCGAAACUGGCAGGCUUGAGUCUUGUAGAGGGGGGUAGAAUUCCAGGUGUAGCGGUGAAAUGCGUAGAGAUCUGGAGGAAUACCGGUGGCGAAGGCGGCCCCCUGGACAAAGACUGACGCUCAGGUGCGAAAGCGUGGGGAGCAAACAGGAUUAGAUACCCUGGUAGUCCACGCCGUAAACGAUGUCUACUUGGAGGUUGUGCCCUUGAGGCGUGGCUUCCGGAGCUAACGCGUUAAGUAGACCGCCUGGGGAGUACGGCCGCAAGGUUAAAACUCAAAUGAAUUGACGGGGGCCCGCACAAGCGGUGGAGCAUGUGGUUUAAUUCGAUGCAACGCGAAGAACCUUACCUGGUCUUGACAUCCACAGAAGAAUCCAGAGAUGGAUUUGUGCCUUCGGGAACUGUGAGACAGGUGCUGCAUGGCUGUCGUCAGCUCGUGUUGUGAAAUGUUGGGUUAAGUCCCGCAACGAGCGCAACCCUUAUCCUUUGUUGCCAGCGGUUAGGCCGGGAACUCAAAGGAGACUGCCAGUGAUAAACUGGAGGAAGGUGGGGAUGACGUCAAGUCAUCAUGGCCCUUACGACCAGGGCUACACACGUGCUACAAUGGCGCAUACAAAGAGAAGCGACCUCGCGAGAGCAAGCGGACCUCAUAAAGUGCGUCGUAGUCCGGAUUGGAGUCUGCAACUCGACUCCAUGAAGUCGGAAUCGCUAGUAAUCGUGGAUCAGAAUGCCACGGUGAAUACGUUCCCGGGCCUUGUACACACCGCCCGUCACACCAUGGGAGUGGGUUGCAAAAGAAGUAGGUAGCUUAACCUUCGGGAGGGCGCUUACCACUUUGUGAUUCAUGACUGGGGUGAAGUCGUAACAAGGUAACCGUAGGGGAACCUGCGGUUGGAUCACCUCCUUACCUUAAAGAA